Molecule: small nuclear RNA, 191 nt
Organism: Heterocephalus glaber (naked mole-rat)
Lineage: Eukaryota; Metazoa; Chordata; Mammalia; Rodentia; Bathyergidae
Gene: U2
Rfam family: U2 spliceosomal RNA
About the family: U2 is a small nuclear RNA (snRNA) component of the spliceosome (involved in pre-mRNA splicing). Complementary binding between U2 snRNA (in an area lying towards the 5' end but 3' to hairpin I) and the branchpoint sequence (BPS) of the intron results the bulging out of an unpaired adenosine, on the BPS, which initiates a nucleophilic attack at the intronic 5' splice site, thus starting the first of two transesterification reactions that mediate splicing.
Source: Ensembl
AUCUCUUCUCGGCCUUUUGGCUAAGAUCAAGUGUAGUAUCUGUCUCAGCCUCCUGAGUGCUGGUAUUAUAGAUGUGCACCACUGUGCCCAGCAAGACCGUUUUCUUAAAUGGGAGUCUAGGGUCAAGCACUGAAUGGCCUCCCCAGUAUGAGGCCACAUUACUCUUUUUCUCUUUGCUCGUACUUCUUCCU